GCAACCCUGAUCCAGCAAUGCCGCGUUUGUGAUGAAGGCCUUAGGUUUGUAAAGCACUUUCACUGGUGAAGAUGAUGACGGUAACCAGAGAAGAAGCCCCGGCUAACUUCGUGCCAGCAGCCGCGGUAAUACGAAGGGGGCGAGCGUUGUUCGGAAUUACUGGGCGUAAAGGGCGCGUAGGCGGUCUUUUAAGUUAGGCGUGAAAGCCCCGGGCUCAACCCGCUAACUGCGCUUAAUACUGGAAGACUAGAAAACGGAAGAGGGUAGUGGAAUUCCCAGUGUAAUAGUGAAAUUGAUAGAUAUCGGGAAUAACACCAGUGGCGAAAGCAACGGUCUGGCACUUGGUUGACCCUCAAGUGCGAAGGGGCGGGAAUCCAAUCGGAUUAGAUACCCUAGUAGCCCGUACCUUAAACGAUGCCCUCUAUACCUUGUUCCUCCCCUACCUAAAUUUGUUCCCGUUAAUGCGUCCAGUGGGCCGCCUGGGGAGUACGGCCGCAAGGCUAAAACUCCUAGGAAUUGACGGGGCCCCCCACAAGCGGU
Molecule: ribosomal RNA, 540 nt
Filed under: uncultured bacterium
Lineage: Bacteria
Description: bacterial SSU rRNA
Rfam family: Bacterial small subunit ribosomal RNA
Source: RNAcentral